Molecule: RNA transcript, 2340 nt
Organism: Oenanthe melanoleuca
Lineage: Eukaryota; Metazoa; Chordata; Aves; Passeriformes; Muscicapidae
Gene name: acid-sensing ion channel 2-like
Exons: 11
Source: RefSeq, a predicted model, not a curated record
GGGGUCCCGCAGCGCUCUCCCCGCCGGGGUCCCGGGCUCGGAGCGCGGCAGGGUCGCGGCGGGGCUCGCUCGGUGCCGGUGUCGGGCGGGGCGCGGCACCGCGGGAUGUGAGCGGCGCGGCCGGGCGGGGACAGGGGCAGCCACAGGCACAGGGGCGGGCGGUGCGGGCGGCGCCGGUGGCCCCGGUGGCCCCGGGCCCGGCAUGCCGCGCUGCCGGAACUGCCGCCCGCCGCGCAGCUCGGGGCCGCGGGCCGCCCGCGGGCGCUGCCCCCGCCGCUCGGGGCCGCAGCCGGCGGGGGGCCCGGGGAUGGCGCGGCGCUGCUCGCCCUGAGCCCGGCCCGGAGCGGGACGAGCGGCGGCAGCGGCAGGAGGAGGAGGAGGUGGAGGAGGAGGGGAGCGCCCAUGGCGCGGGGGCGCCGGGCGCCGGCGCUGCGCACUCGGCUGCACGGGCUGCGCCUCAUGUGCUCGGCGCGGGCGGCGCCGGCGCGCCGGGCGCUCUGGGUGCUCGCCUUCUGCACGGCGCUGGGGCUGCUGCUGGCCUGGUCCUCCGACCGCCUGCUGCACUGGCUCGCCUUCCCCUCGCACACCCGCGUGCGCACCGAGUGGAGCCGCCAGCUGCCCUUCCCCGCCGUCACGCUGUGCAACAACAACCCGCUGCGCUUCCCGCGCCUCUCCAAGGGCGACCUGUACUACGCGGGGCACUGGCUGGGGCUGCUGCUGCCCAACCGCACGGCGCGGCCGCUGCUCACCGAGCUGCUGCGCGCCGACGAGGCGCGGCUGCGCUGGUUCGCCAAACUGGCCGAUUUCCGCCUCUUUCUGCCGCCCCGACACUACGAGGGCAUCAGCGCCGACUUCAUGGACCGCCUGGGCCACCAGCUGGAGGACAUGCUGCUGUCCUGCAAGUACCGCGGCGAGCUCUGCGGCCCGCACAACUUCUCCGCGGUGUUUACAAAGUAUGGGAAAUGCUACAUGUUUAACUCAGGAGAGGAGGGGCGGCCUCUCCUCACCACGGUGAAGGGGGGGACAGGGAAUGGCCUGGAAAUCAUGCUGGACAUUCAGCAGGACGAGUAUCUGCCCAUCUGGGGAGAAACAGAGGAGACGACGUUCGAGGCUGGAGUCAAAGUGCAGAUCCACAGCCAGUCGGAGCCGCCCUUCGUGCAGGAGCUCGGAUUUGGGGUGGCCCCCGGGUUCCAGACAUUCGUGGCCACCCAGGAGCAAAGGCUGACGUACCUGCCCCCGCCCUGGGGCGAGUGCCGCUCCCCGGAGCUGGGCCUGGCGUUCUUCCCGGUGUACAGCGUGACAGCCUGCAGGAUCGACUGCGAGACCCGCUACAUCGUGGAGAACUGCAACUGCAGGAUGGUGCACAUGCCAGGGGACGCUCCCUUCUGCACCCCGGAGCAGUACAAGGAGUGUGCAGAGCCUGCACUCAGUCUCCUGGCAGAGAAGGACAGCAGCUACUGCAUCUGCAGGACCCCCUGUAACCUCACCAGGUACAACAAGGAGCUCUCCAUGGUCAAGAUCCCCAGCAAGACCUCGGCCAAGUACCUGGAGAAGAAGUUCAACAAGUCAGAAAAAUACAUCUCAGAGAAUAUUCUCGUGCUGGACAUUUUUUUUGAAGCACUCAACUAUGAGACCAUAGAGCAGAAGAAAGCCUAUGAAGUUGCAGCCUUACUUGGUGACAUUGGUGGCCAGAUGGGGCUGUUCAUCGGGGCCAGCAUCCUCACCAUCCUCGAGCUCUUCGACUACCUGUACGAGCUGAUCAAGGAAAAAUUAUUGGACCUUCUUGGAAAAGAGGAAGAGGACGGGAGCCAUGAUGAGAACGUGAGCACCUGUGAUCCAGUGCCAAACCACUCGGAGAGCCUGAGCCACACUGUGACCGUGCCCCUGCAGGCGCCGCUGGGGACGCUGGAGGAAAUCGCCUGCUGACCCCUCCCACCACAGUGCCCACCCCGAGGAAGGAAAACUGCACAGGGAAAACAGGGACCCAGCUCAGUCCCUGGGUUUCAGUGCCAGAAGGAGCAUCCCAGAAUUCUCCAUUCCUGAGAGUUUUAGAAUAAAAGAUCCAAAAGCCGCCGCUGUCGGAUUCUUCUCCCGGUGAGGUCGGGCUGAGUCCCGAGCUCAGCCCAAGGUGAGCAAACCUGGGGAGGAGCCCCAGGGCUCCCCAUGGAUCAUCCUGCAGAGCCUGGAGAGCCCAGCAGCAGAGGGAGGGGUUGGGUUCAUUCAUUUCUUUUUUCAUUUUGGGUUGGAGAUUUUGGAAUUUCCUUCUUCUCCCAUUCAUGGAUUCUGUGCUUUCUCCUCGUUCUCCUGACUGAUAUUAAAGCUGGUCUUGUGGAAAUGGCC